AGACGCCGGCGUGGGGCCUGGGCUCGUGGCCCGAGCUCAAAUCGACGCCUCGUCGCCCGUUGUACGGCGCAGCGGCGACUCGGCGACGGGGCGGGCGAUCCGGUGCUCCCCAGGUUAAUUUUGGCGGCCAAGGUGCCGAAGAUGGCGCGAAAUCCCCACGGGCGCACGCUCUUCACCCCCCCCCCCCCCCCCCCUCCUUCCCUCCCCUUCACAAUCCAUUGCAGGAGCUUGGUCCUUCCCGGCGGCGCAAUGGGGUCGGAGAACCAGCAAUCCGCAGCAGCGGCACGUGAUCUCCUAAUUGCGUCGACGACGCGCCAGUGGUAGGAGAUAGCGGUGCGGGCACGGGCUCAAAAGCUCGAGACGUCGUCGAUGGCGACGACGGCGCACAGGAGGGAAGCUGCGACGGCGGCGCAGGAGCUGGGUCGUCCGCCCGUAGAGCAAAACUUCACCGGCCGCAGUCUCGCCGGUAACACCCAACCCCCCCCCCCCCCCCCCCCCCCCCCCCAAGAUCGACCGGCGGCGGUAUGUUCCCGGCCACCCCAAGGUCCAAUGGCGGCAUGAGCUUCUCUGGCAGCCCCAACCUGAUGUCUUCGACCAUGGCCUAGCAUCAAUCACAGUCUCAACCAUGGAUUCAUGCCGAUCCCACAGAAUGGUGAAAUUGGAUGCUCGCCCUAAAAUUAUUUCUGUUUUCUGGUCUGGUGAUGUUGCACCCUAAUUCUUGGACCAGAAUGAUCAUGCUGUUUUUUAGUUUCCCUUCCCAUGCUACAAACUGAAUGGGUUUCUGAAACUGAACAUGUCAUGCAUGUGUGUGUAUAUAUGCCGAUCCGACAGAAUGGUAAGGCUUCUUAGCACUUUGUUGUGAGAAUUUUUGUUCCAGCUUCCAAAUUGUAGUGUGAAUUCUGUUAGGGACUUUUAGUUUGGCAAUGGCGAACACAAGAAGAUUACAUCAUUGGAAUAUGCUACUGACUACUAAUUAGAAAACAUAACAAAUUUUAUUUUCUUGUCAGUGAAAACUAAGUCAAGGUUAAGGCCAUUUUUUGAAUGUUGAGCACUGCCACUUUGCAUUCAGUCUCACCAUUUUCUGCUAGGUGUGCUCAGAAUUUAUCAGCCACACAUGGUGUCAAUUUCUGUUUAGUUUGGCAAGCAGUACUGAAUGCACUAAAUGCUACAUGGUUCAUAUAGAGAUGCACUGAAAUGUUUUUUUCUAUAACAUUCUAAAACUGAAGCCUGUAUGGAUGUGCUGGAAUUUUAUAUUUAGUUUGGCAAGCAGUGUUUCUGCAACUGAAUGCCUGAAUGCUGCAUGGUUCAUAUAGAGAUGCACUGAAAUGUUUUUUUUUUCUAUAACAUUCUGAAACUGAAGCCUGUAUGGAUGUGCUACAAUUUUCUGCAGUCAAUAUUUCCUGAUAUGUACUAAGGUGAGUUCCAGUUUCAGUUUUUAGUCAAUUGAGUGAAGUCUGGCAGUAGCACUUAAUUAGUGAAAUUGCAUUUAAGUAGAUGAUAAUAGAUGGAGUCAGUACCACUUAAUUUUCUGAAAUGUUUGUUUUCUAUGAAAAAUUAUCCUGUAGUUAAAUGUUACAGACAUUUUUUCUUUCCUGAGCUGUUACAGGCAUUUUUACUCCUGAACUGACAGUGAGCUGUUACAGAUAUUUUUUUUCUCCUACACACCUUUUACUGGAACUCAACCUACACACCUUGAUAAUUUUUCUUUGCUUCUACAUUAUUAUGCAUAAGCAGAAUCCAAGGGGUAUUGGAGAUGUGUAAAGUUUUUUUGUUUCCCUGAAAGCACCAUUUUUCACUUAAUGGUAGAUCUACAUUUUUUUCUCCUGAACUGGUCUGCAUUUUUGCCCCUGAACUGACAGCAAUUCAAUGUGCCUUACAGGUACAAGAAGGAAGGCAAAAUUGGAGCAAAAUGUUACACUGGCUGAAGAGAUAGGAGGCUCUGUUGUUAGUUUCUUAGUGCUCAAAAACAAGAUAGGAGGAUCUGCAUAAGAGGCUGGUGCAUGAGCAGGCUCUAUAGUUAGUUUAUGAAAUUUCAGAGGAGGCUCUGUACUUAGUUUUUGAAAUGUCAGACUUGUUUCUAGUUUAUUAAUUGGUUACAAUGGUCAAACUUCUGGUGCUAUUUGAAGUUCCUGAAUUUUUUCUGAAA
Molecule: long non-coding RNA, 2146 nt
Organism: Panicum virgatum (switchgrass)
Lineage: Eukaryota; Viridiplantae; Streptophyta; Magnoliopsida; Poales; Poaceae
Exons: 2
Source: RefSeq, a predicted model, not a curated record